GAUCAUGGCUCAGGACGAACGCUGGCGGCGUGCCUAACACAUGCAAGUCGAGCGGGGAAUAUUGAGUAGCUUGCUACUUGGUAUUUCUAGCGGCGGACGGGUGAGUAACGCGUGAGCAACCUGCCUUUAUCAGGGGGAUAACGCAUCGAAAGAUGUGCUAAUACCGCGUAAGACCACAGCUUCACAUGGAGCAGAGGUCAAAGGAGCAAUCCGGAUAAAGAUGGG
Molecule: ribosomal RNA, 225 nt
Filed under: uncultured bacterium
Lineage: Bacteria
Description: partial 16S ribosomal RNA
Rfam family: Bacterial small subunit ribosomal RNA
Source: RNAcentral